CCAAGGUGCAGCACUGAUGUCACUCCACAGAGACAGUGGCUUCUUUGUGCUAUAUACGGUGCAUGGGGCCUCCUCCUCAAGAGGUCACUGGUGAAAGAGUGGAAUUGGCAUGAGGCUUGAAGCCAGUGUGCCCCAUAGCCUGGCAGGCACUCCUCUACAUUCUCUCCACAAGCAGAAGCUAUUCCAGAGCACCAGGCUGCAGGGCUGAGAAAUGUUGGAGCUUGGACAGGGGACAAAAGAAGCGAGGACUCACUCCACCAUGGCCGUUCCCCCAAGAAGACAGUUCAGUCUUUAUCUCUCUAAUGCUCUCAGAAGUUUUUUUCUGAGGUUCACUCAUGUCAUUUCACUGAUUUGAAACACAGGCAAAAUGUGCUGGUGCCAGAUUUUCAGUGGGGACCUACUGCUGUGGCAGGUUCUGAUCUAACUCUGAACUAAUGUUGACCUUUCACCCUUACAAUGCAGCCAUCUGCUAUCUCCAAGAGUAAACAAAACCUCCAA
This is a long non-coding RNA of Peromyscus eremicus (cactus mouse), 498 nucleotides long. RefSeq lists it as uncharacterized. The transcript has 2 exons. Lineage: Eukaryota; Metazoa; Chordata; Mammalia; Rodentia; Cricetidae. The record is from RefSeq and is a predicted model, not a curated record.